This 30-nucleotide non-coding RNA is filed under the name Mus musculus (house mouse). Lineage: Eukaryota; Metazoa; Chordata; Mammalia; Rodentia; Muridae. The record is from RNAcentral.
UGGUGAACGGACUCAUGGCCGCAGGAGCAG